AUUGAACGCUGGCGGCAGGCCUAACACAUGCAAGUCGAGCGGAUGAAGGGAGCUUGCUCCUGGAUUCAGCGGCGGACGGGUGAGUAAUGCCUAGGAAUCUGCCUGGUCGUGGGGGAUAACGUCCGGAAACGGGCGCUAAUACCGCAUACGUCCUGAGGGAGAAAGUGGGGGAUCUUCGGACCUCACGCUAUCAGAUGAGCCUAGGUCGGAUUAGCUAGUUGGUGGGGUAAAGGCCUACCAAGGCGACGAUCCGUAACUGGUCUGAGAGGAUGAUCAGUCACACUGGAACUGAGACACGGUCCAGACUCCUACGGGAGGCAGCAGUGGGGAAUAUUGGACAAUGGGCGAAAGCCUGAUCCAGCCAUGCCGCGUGUGUGAAGAAGGUCUUCGGAUUGUAAAGCACUUUAAGUUGGGAGGAAGGGCAGUAAGUUAAUACCUUGCUGUUUUGACGUUACCAACAGAAUAAGCACCGGCUAACUUCGUG
Molecule: ribosomal RNA, 484 nt
Filed under: uncultured bacterium
Lineage: Bacteria
Description: partial 16S ribosomal RNA
Rfam family: Bacterial small subunit ribosomal RNA
Source: RNAcentral